Molecule: microRNA, 24 nt
Filed under: Daphnia pulex (common water flea)
Lineage: Eukaryota; Metazoa; Arthropoda; Branchiopoda; Diplostraca; Daphniidae
Source: RNAcentral
GAUGAGUGGGGAUCGUUAGUCGCG